RNAcentral lists this unclassified non-coding RNA (133 nucleotides) under uncultured fungus. RNAcentral's name for it is "sequence contains ITS1, 5.8S rRNA gene". The record is from RNAcentral. Lineage: Eukaryota; Fungi.
ACACUAAUCCAACUCAACUCAACGAAGCCUUCAGUUGCAGCAGUGCGUGCUAGCGCAAGCAAGCAGUGCCGCUGCAGCACCAAAACAAACUAAUUCAUGCAAAGGAGCCUAACUAAGCUCAACCACAUCAACC